This 253-nucleotide ribosomal RNA is filed under the name uncultured bacterium. RNAcentral's name for it is "partial 16S ribosomal RNA". It matches the Rfam family "Bacterial small subunit ribosomal RNA", at positions 524 to 776 of the family's 1533-position model. The record is from RNAcentral.
GACGUAGGGGACGAGCGUUGUCCGGAUUCAUUGGGCGUAAAGCGCGCGUAGGUGGUUUGUUAAGUCUGUUGUGAAAGCCCCGGGCUCAACCUGGGAAUGGCAAUGGAUACUGGCAAGCUAGAGUGCGGUAGAGGGUAGUGGAAUUCCCGGUGUAGCGGUGAAAUGCGCAGAUAUCAGGAAGAACACCCGUGGCGAAGGCGGUUCUCUGGGACGGUACUGACGCUGAGACGCGAAAGCGUGGGGAGCGAACAGG